AAGAAUAUCUCUACAAAAUAUCUAAACUUUUAUUCCUGCAGUCAUCGCUUACAAGAGAAAUCACUACUUGUGACCAAGUAGAAGGGUGAGCAAGUCUUUUUUUUGUACUACUUGUCAGCAAUGUAAAAUAGAAUCUGUUGUGAUAGCCAGUGGUUGGUAAAACAACAUGCUUGGUGGACAUCACUGAUGUAACUGGACAUCUUCAGCAGGAUCUUUGUUGUUCCUUCUUUUUUCCAUUUUGAUAGAAUCUGAUUUGUAAAAUAAAAUCUUGGGACUGAUUGUUCUCUUAAAGUGGUGGGAUAUAGUCCAGAAUUUUUGUUGUUAUUGCAGUUGUACCAAUAAGAUGUCAGAAUUCAUGUUUUGAGAUUUAGAUCUUGGAUAUUCUUAUGCCCAUUUGUAUGAUAAUUUUUUAAUUUUUGUCAGGUGACUUAGUGGAAGGCAGAGGGAUUAACGAUCUCUGAUAUCCCCGUAUAUAUUGGAAAAUAAAUGGGAAAGUUAGAGAAGACUAUGAUGCUCAACGGUCAAUGUCGGUGGGAAUUUCCAAUGUACGAGCAGGUGAAGUUUUUUCAGUAUUUGAAAUCAGGAAAAGUUUUUAAGAAAUGCAUUUGUUGUUUGAUUGCGGAUUUUCACUUGAUACGUGUUUAUUGUUCCUGCAGAAUCCCAAUAACAAAAGACAAACUUAACAAAGAAGAUGGAGUCAAAAUACACAAAGUGAAGAACCUAAAAGAACAUACAAACAGUCAUCAUUUGCUAGCUCCAUCGUAAGUGUUGAAUGUGGUUUGGGACGAGAUAGAUUCAUGUGUUUAAGUUCAACAAAGAAGAAGGGAUUCAGAGAUUUUGGUUAAAUAAAGCUUUAUUCUUGGCAAUAGAGGGAUGAUUGUUCGAUGUUGAGAUCAAUAAAAAGUUGAUUUUGAGAUCAACAAAAGGCCGAUGAUGAUUUUCGCAUAGAUAUUUGAGAUCCUAAAACACUGAUCUAAUCUGACAAGAGUAUUGAGUUAUAAGCUUAGUCUUCUAAGUUUUUCUCCCCUUGAAUUUAUCACGAUGUUCCUCUAUUUAUACUAGAGGAGAUCGUGCCACAUUCUUUGACUUGAUAACUAAAGAUGAUAGUAAAUCCAUAAG
Molecule: long non-coding RNA, 1119 nt
Filed under: Eutrema salsugineum
Lineage: Eukaryota; Viridiplantae; Streptophyta; Magnoliopsida; Brassicales; Brassicaceae
Description: long non-coding RNA (ESAL_LNC001856)
Source: RNAcentral